UGGAAAAUAGCCAAGUGGUAAGGCCACAGAUUUUGAGUCUGUUAGCAAAGGUUCGACUCCCUUUUUUCCAA
Molecule: transfer RNA, 71 nt
Filed under: Hepatozoon canis
Lineage: Eukaryota; Apicomplexa; Hepatozoidae
Description: tRNA-Gln
Rfam family: tRNA
About the family: Transfer RNA (tRNA) molecules are approximately 80 nucleotides in length. Their secondary structure includes four short double-helical elements and three loops (D, anti-codon, and T loops). Further hydrogen bonds mediate the characteristic L-shaped molecular structure. tRNAs have two regions of fundamental functional importance: the anti-codon, which is responsible for specific mRNA codon recognition, and the 3' end, to which the tRNAs corresponding amino acid is attached (by aminoacyl-tRNA synthetases). tRNAs cope with the degeneracy of the genetic code in two manners: having more than one tRNA (with a specific anti-codon) for a particular amino acid; and 'wobble' base-pairing, i.e. permitting non-standard base-pairing at the 3rd anti-codon position.
Source: RNAcentral